Molecule: transfer RNA, 73 nt
Filed under: Myotis davidii
Lineage: Eukaryota; Metazoa; Chordata; Mammalia; Chiroptera; Vespertilionidae
Rfam family: tRNA
About the family: Transfer RNA (tRNA) molecules are approximately 80 nucleotides in length.
Source: Rfam by way of RNAcentral
GCCGGUGUGGCUCAGUGGACAGAGCGUCCGUCCGUAGACCGAAGGGCCCCGGGUUCGAUUCCGGUCAAGGGCA